GCCCGGGUGGCGAAAUCGGCAGACGCAAAGGACUUAAAAUCCUUUUCACCGCAAGGUGAGUGCGGGUUCAAUUCCCGCCCCGGGCACCA
RNAcentral lists this transfer RNA (89 nucleotides) under Terriglobia bacterium. RNAcentral's name for it is "tRNA-Leu". It matches the Rfam family "tRNA". From Rfam's summary of the family: Transfer RNA (tRNA) molecules are approximately 80 nucleotides in length. Lineage: Bacteria; Pseudomonadati; Acidobacteriota; Terriglobia. The record is from RNAcentral.